RNAcentral lists this ribosomal RNA (1343 nucleotides) under uncultured bacterium. RNAcentral's name for it is "16S ribosomal RNA". It matches the Rfam family "Bacterial small subunit ribosomal RNA", at positions 28 to 1378 of the family's 1533-position model. The record is from RNAcentral.
GACGAACGCUGGCGGCGUGCUUAACACAUGCAAGUCGAACGGAAAGGCCCUGCUUUUGUGGGGUGCUCGAGUGGCGAACGGGUGAGUAACACGUGAGUAACCUGCCCUUGACUUUGGGAUAACUUCAGGAAACUGGGGCUAAUACCGGAUAGGAGCUCCUGCUGCAUGGUGGGGGUUGGAAAGUUUCGGCGGUUGGGGAUGGACUCGCGGCUUAUCAGCUUGUUGGUGGGGUAGUGGCUUACCAAGGCUUUGACGGGUAGCCGGCCUGAGAGGGUGACCGGCCACAUUGGGACUGAGAUACGGCCCAGACUCCUACGGGAGGCAGCAGUGGGGAAUAUUGCACGAUGGGCGGAAGCCUGAUGCAGCAACGCCGCGUGCGGGAUGACGGCCUUCGGGUUGUAAACCGCUUUCGCCUGUGACGAAGCGUGAGUGACGGUAAUGGGUAAAGAAGCACCGGCUAACUACGUGCCAGCAGCCGCGGUGAUACGUAGGGUGCGAGCGUUGUCCGGAUUUAUUGGGCGUAAAGGGCUCGUAGGUGGUUGAUCGCGUCGGAAGUGUAAUCUUGGGGCUUAACCCUGAGCGUGCUUUCGAUACGGGUUGACUUGAGGAAGGUAGGGGAGAAUGGAAUUCCUGGUGGAGCGGUGGAAUGCGCAGAUAUCAGGAGGAACACCAGUGGCGAAGGCGGUUCUCUGGGCCUUUCCUGACGCUGAGGAGCGAAAGCGUGGGGAGCGAACAGGCUUAGAUACCCUGGUAGUCCGCGCUGUAAACGGUGGGUACUAGGUGUGGGGUCCAUUCCACGGGUUCCGUGCCGUAGCUAACGCUUUAAGUACCCCGCCUGGGGAGUACGGCCGCAAGGCUAAAACUCAAAGGAAUUGACGGGGCCCCGCACAAGCGGCGGAGCAUGCGGAUUAAUUCGAUGCAACGCGUAGAACCUUACCUGGGUUUGACAUGGAUCGGGAGUGCUCAGAGAUGGGUGUGCCUCUUUUGGGGUCGGUUCACAGGUGGUGCAUGGCUGUCGUCAGCUCGUGUCGUGAGAUGUUGGGUUAAGUCCCGCAACGAGCGCAACCCUUGUUCACUGUUGCCAGCACGUUAUAGUGGGGACUCAGUGGAGACCGCCGGGGUCAACUCGGAGGAAGGUGGGGAUGACGUCAAGUCAUCAUGCCCCUUAUGUCCAGGGCUUCACGCAUGCUACAAUGGCUGGUACAGAGAGUGGCGAGCCUGUGAGGGUGAGCGAAUCUCGGAAAGCCGGUCUCAGUUCGGAUUGGGGUCUGCAACUCGACCUCAUGAAGUCGGAGUCGCUAGUAAUCGCAGAUCAGCAACGCUGCGGUGAAUACGUUCCCGGG